UUGAGUUCCAGUCCUGACUUCCUUUGGUGAUCAACAGCAGUGUGGAAGUGAAAUCAAGGACUUUGGUAUCUACAAUUUUGAAAAGAGUGACAUAUUUUCCCGGAGUCAAGCCAACCAUCACUAUUUUAGAAACACACUGGCAUGUCAAAUUCUCUCUAGCAAUAACACAUCACCUUGGGAAUUGGACAUUGCAUAAAAUAUCACAUAUGUGUCAGCUUGAGAUAUAAUCCUAUCAUGACAGUCAGGCUAUCUAGCACUAGUCACGGUACCCGGUACCUUCAUGCAAGGACAAAGAACUCUGUAUAGAACUUCUUGCCCUAAGAAGAUCUCAAUGGAAGGAAAGUCAAGAAUAAACUUCUCUGGUAACCACAGUUUCAAAAGACGAUUAUACAGAAGAGAAAUUAAUUUGAUCAGCCAUCGAAGUGAGCAUGAUCCUAGCCUGGCUCAGUAUCAACGUUGGAUACACCAGCCCCUAUCUGGGUUUGCUAAAUAUCUGUACUCUUAGCAUAAGAGAAAUUGAGUCAGGAGAACUACCAAGUGUUUGAAGCUGAAUUGUGAAUUUCAGGCCAUCUUGUUAUACAAUAUCAGAUUAUGUCUCAAAAAGCAAAGCAACACAGAACUAAACAAGCAAACAACAUAAACAUUUUAAGAAAAUUUUUAAAAAUUGUGUGUUUCAGUCAAUUGAGUCUCCUGCCAUACCUAUAUGCCUGUACAAAUUUUGUACAAAUAUUGAAAUAGAGGAUCUUCAUUCCUUCAAUGGUGAUAUAUUUGAUCCAAUGAUGUUAGUUUGUAGGCUACUGAAGGACCUUCCUGGGGUUGAAUGGGUAGGUUCAGCCUUUGGACAAAGAACAAGUUGUGAUUAUCUUAUAAAUAAAUAUACAACGUCUUCUGG
This is a long non-coding RNA of Mastomys coucha (southern multimammate mouse), 892 nucleotides long. RefSeq lists it as uncharacterized. Lineage: Eukaryota; Metazoa; Chordata; Mammalia; Rodentia; Muridae. The transcript is spliced from 3 exons. The record is from RefSeq and is a predicted model, not a curated record.